Molecule: ribosomal RNA, 2272 nt
Filed under: human metagenome
Description: bacterial LSU rRNA
Rfam family: Bacterial large subunit ribosomal RNA
Source: RNAcentral
GCGAACCGGGAGAACUGAAACAUCUAAGUACCCCGAGGAAAAGAAAUCAACCGAGAUUUCGUUAGUAGCGGCGAGCGAACGCGAAGGAGCCUGUUAGUGAUAAUGACAGAGACAGAGGAACAAGCUGGGAAGCUUGGCGAUACAGGGUGAUAGCCCCGUACUCGAAGUCCAGGUCAUGGUACUAAGCUAACGAUAAGUAGGGCGGGACACGUGAUAUCCUGUUUGAAGAUGGGGGGACCAUCCUCCAAGGCUAAAUACUCCUGAUUGACCGAUAGUGAACCAGUACUGUGAAGGAAAGGCGAAAAGAACCCCGGUGAGGGGAGUGAAAUAGAACCUGAAACCUUGUACGUACAAGCAGUGGGAGCCCUUUAAGGGUGACUGCGUACCUUUUGUAUAAUGGGUCAGCGACUUAUAUUUUGUAGCGAGGUUAACCGAAUAGGGGAGCCGAAGGGAAACCGAGUCUUAACUGGGCGUCUAGUUGCAAGGUAUAGACCCGAAACCCGGUGAUCUAGCCAUGGGCAGGUUGAAGGUUGGGUAACACUAACUGGAGGACCGAACCGACUAAUGUUGAAAAAUUAGCGGAUGACUUGUGGCUGGGGGUGAAAGGCCAAUCAAACCGGGAGAUAGCUGGUUCUCCCCGAAAUCUAUUUAGGUAGAGCCUUGAGCGGACACCUUCGGGGGUAGAGCACUGUUUCGGCUAGGGGUCCAUCCCGGAUUACCAACCCGAUGCAAACUACGAAUACCGAAGAGUGAUACUCAGGAGACACACGGCGGGUGCUAACGUCCGUCGUGGAGAGGGAAACAACCCAGACCGCCAGCUAAGGUCCCAAAGUCUAUAUUAAGUGGGAAACGAAGUGGGAAGGCUUAGACAGCUAGGAUGUUGGCUUAGAAGCAGCCAUCAUUUAAAGAAAGCGUAAUAGCUCACUAGUCGAGUCGGCCUGCGCGGAAGAUGUAACGGGGCUCAAAUAUAGCACCGAAGCUGCGGCAUCAGUAGCAAUACUGUUGGGUAGGGGAGCGUUCUGUAAGCGGAUGAAGAUGGCUCGAGAGGGCUGUUGGACGUAUCAGAAGUGCGAAUGCUGACAUAAGUAACGAUAAAACGGGUGAAAAACCCGUUCGCCGGAAGACCAAGGGUUCCUGUCCAACGUUAAUCGGGGCAGGGUGAGUCGGCCCCUAAGGCGAGGCUGAAAAGCGUAGUCGAUGGGAAACGGGUUAAUAUUCCCGUACUUGGAUAAACUGCGAUGUGGGGACGGAGCAGGUUAGGUUAUCGCACUGUUGGAUAUGUGCGUUUAAGUUGGUAGGUGUGAAGUUUAGGCAAAUCCGGACUUCUUUAACACUGAGAGAUGAUGACGAGGCUCUACGGAGCUGAAGUAACCGAUACCACACUUCCAGGAAAAGCCACUAAGCUUCAGGUUUAUCUAAACCGUACUGAAAACCGACACAGGUGGUCAGGUAGAGAAUACUCAGGCGCUUGAGAGAACUCGGGUGAAGGAACUAGGCAAAAUAGCACCGUAACUUCGGGAGAAGGUGCGCCGGCGUAGAUUGUAGUCCCUUGCGGAUGAAGGUUGAACCGGUCGAAGAUACCAGCUGGCUGCAACUGUUUAUUAAAAACACAGCACUCUGCAAACACGAAAGUGGACGUAUAGGGUGUGACGCCUGCCCGGUGCUGGAAGGUUAAUUGAAGAUGUGAGAGCAUCGGAUCGAAGCCCCAGUAAACGGCGGCCGUAACUAUAACGGUCCUAAGGUAGCGAAAUUCCUUGUCGGGUAAGUUCCGACCUGCACGAAUGGCAUAAUGAUGGCCAGGCUGUCUCCACCCGAGACUCAGUGAAAUUGAAAUCGCCGUGAAGAUGCGGUGUACCCGCGGCUAGACGGAAAGACCCCGUGAACCUUUACUAUAGCUUGACACUGAACAUUGAAUUUUGAUGUGUAGGAUAGGUGGGAGACUUUGAAGAUGAUACGCCAGUAUUGUUGGAGUCGUCCUUGAAAUACCACCCUUUAACGUUUGAUGUUCUAACGAAGAUUACGAAACGUGGUCUCGGACAGUGUCUGGUGGGUAGUUUGACUGGGGCGGUCUCCUCCCAAAGAGUAACGGAGGAGCACGAAGGUUUGCUAAUGACGGUCGGACAUCGUCAGGUUAGUGCAAUGGUAUAAGCAAGCUUAACUGCGAGACAGACAAGUCGAGCAGGUACGAAAGUAGGUCAUAGUGAUCCGGUGGUUCUGAAUGGAAGGGCCAUCGCUCAACGGAUAAAAGGUACUCCGGGGAUAACAGGCUGAU